RNAcentral lists this ribosomal RNA (270 nucleotides) under uncultured bacterium. RNAcentral describes it as "partial 16S ribosomal RNA". It matches the Rfam family "Bacterial small subunit ribosomal RNA", at positions 525 to 794 of the family's 1533-position model. The record is from RNAcentral.
ACGUAGGAAGCGAGCGUUAUCCGGAUUUACUGGGCGUAAAGCGUGCGCAGGCGGUUCUGUAAGACAGGCGUGAAAUCCCCGGGCUCAACCUGGGAAUGGCGCUUGUGACUGCAAAGCUGGAGUGCGGCAGAGGGGGAUGGAAUUCCGCGUGUAGCAGUGAAAUGCGUAGAUAUGCGGAGGAACACCAAUGGCGAAGGCAAUCCCCUGGGCCUGCACUGACGCUCAUGCACGAAAGCGUGGGGAGCAAACAGGAUUAGAAACCCCGGUAGU